RNAcentral lists this ribosomal RNA (497 nucleotides) under uncultured Glomeromycotina. Its description in RNAcentral is "partial small subunit ribosomal RNA". It matches the Rfam family "Eukaryotic small subunit ribosomal RNA", at positions 591 to 1092 of the family's 1831-position model. The record is from RNAcentral. Lineage: Eukaryota; Fungi; Glomeromycota.
CCAAUAGCGUAUAUUAAAGUUGUUGCAGUUAAAAAGCUCGUAGUUGAAUUUCGGGAUCAGUAUGUUGGUCGUGCUUCGGUACGUACUGUCAUUACUGGUUUCUACCUUCUGAAGAACCUUGAUGUCAUUAAUUUGGUGUCUUGGGAAAUCAGGACUGUUACUUUGAAAAAAUUAGAGUGUUUAAAGCAAGCAUACGCUUGAAUACAUUAGCAUGGAAUAAUGAAAUAGGACGUUUGAUUCUAUUUUGUUGGUUUCUAGGAUCGACGUAAUGAUUAAUAGGGAUAGUUGGGGGCAUUAGUAUUCAAUUGUCAGAGGUGAAAUUCUUGGAUUUAUUGAAGACUAACUACUGCGAAAGCAUUUGCCAAGGAUGUUUUCAUUAAUCAAGAACGAAAGUUAGGGGAUCGAAGACGAUCAGAUACCGUCGUAGUCUUAACCAUAAACUAUGCCGACUAGGGAUCGGAUAAUGUUAUUUUUAAUGACUCAUUCGGCGCCUUACA